RNAcentral lists this transfer RNA (68 nucleotides) under uncultured Alterileibacterium sp. It matches the Rfam family "tRNA". Rfam says of the family: Transfer RNA (tRNA) molecules are approximately 80 nucleotides in length. Their secondary structure includes four short double-helical elements and three loops (D, anti-codon, and T loops). Further hydrogen bonds mediate the characteristic L-shaped molecular structure. tRNAs have two regions of fundamental functional importance: the anti-codon, which is responsible for specific mRNA codon recognition, and the 3' end, to which the tRNAs corresponding amino acid is attached (by aminoacyl-tRNA synthetases). tRNAs cope with the degeneracy of the genetic code in two manners: having more than one tRNA (with a specific anti-codon) for a particular amino acid; and 'wobble' base-pairing, i.e. permitting non-standard base-pairing at the 3rd anti-codon position. Lineage: Bacteria; Bacillati; Bacillota; Clostridia; Peptostreptococcales; Anaerovoracaceae. The record is from RNAcentral.
GGGUAUAGCUCAGCUGGUAGAGCAGCGGUCUCCAAAACCGCGUGUCGUGGGUUCAAGUCCUACUGCCC